GUCUACGGCCAUAUCACCCUGAAUGCAUCUGAUCUCGGAAGCUAAGCAGGGUCUGGCCUGGUUAGUACUUGGAUGGGAGAAGAGAAAUCAUCUCAAAGCUU
Molecule: ribosomal RNA, 101 nt
Filed under: Microcebus murinus (gray mouse lemur)
Lineage: Eukaryota; Metazoa; Chordata; Mammalia; Primates; Cheirogaleidae
Source: RNAcentral